CCCACUAAGCUUCAGCUUAAGAAAAACCGUACCGCAAACCGACACAGGUAGGCAGGGUGAGAAUCCCAAGGCGCUUGAGAGAACUCGGGUGAAGGAACUAGGCAAAAUGGCACCGUAACUUCGGGAGAAGGUGCGCCCUUUGGUGUGGUCACGUGCGUGACUGAGCAUCGAAGGGUCGCAGUAACCUGGCCGCUGCGACUGUUUAUCAAAAACACAGCACUCUGCAAACACGAAAGUGGACGUAUAGGGUGUGACGCCUGCCCGGUGCUGGAAGGUUAAUUGAUGGGGUCAGCCGCAAGGCGAAGCUCUUGAUCGAAGCCCCAGUAAACGGCGGCCGUAACAAUAACGGUCCUAAGGUAGCGAAAUUCCUUGUCGGGUAAGUUCCGACCUGCACGAAUGGCGUAACGACAGCGGCGCUGUCUCCACCCGAGACUCAGUGAAAUUGAAAUCGCUGUGAAGAUGCAGCGUUCCCGCGGCAAGACGGAAAGACCCCGUGAACCUUUACUAUAGCUUUACACUGAACGUUGAGUUCUUCUGUGUAGGAUAGGUGGGAGGCUAUGAAACCAGGACGCUAGUUCUGGUGGAGCCAUCCUUGAAAUACCACCCUGAAGUGCUUGACGUUCUAACCUAGGCCCGUAAUCCGGGUCAGGGACCGUGUAUGGUGGGUAGUUUGACUGGGGCGGUCUCCUCCCAAAGAGUAACGGAGGAGCACGAAGGUACGCUCAGCGCGGUCGGACAUCGCGCACUGUGUGCAAAGGCAUAAGCGUGCUUGACUGCGAGAUCGACGGAUCAAGCAGGUACGAAAGUAGGUCUUAGUGAUCCGGUGGUUCUGUAUGGAAGGGCCAUCGCUCAACGGAUAAAAGGUACUCCGGGGAUAACAGGCUGAUACCGCCCAAGAGUUCAUAUCGACGGCGGUGUUUGGCACCUCGAUGUCGGCUCAUCACAUCCUGGGGCUGUAGCCGGUCCCAAGGGUAUGGCUGUUCGCCAUUUAAAGUGGUACGCGAGCUGGGUUCAGAACGUCGUGAGACAGUUCGGUCCCUAUCUGUCGUGGGCGUUGGAGAUUUGAGGGGGGCUGCUCCUAGUACGAGAGGACCGGAGUGGACGUUCCGCUGGUGUUCGGGUUGUCAUGCCCAUGGCAUUGCCCGGUAGCUACGAACGGAAGUGAUAACCGCUGAAAGCAUCUAAGCGGGAAGCACGCCCCAAGAUGAGAUCUCCCGAGAGCUUGACUCUCCUAAAGGCACCAUCAAGACUAGGUGGUUGAUAGGUCAGGUGUGGAAGCGCAGCAAUGCGUUGAGCUAACUGAUACUAAUGAGCCGUGAGGCUUGACC
Molecule: ribosomal RNA, 1328 nt
Filed under: metagenome
Description: bacterial LSU rRNA
Rfam family: Bacterial large subunit ribosomal RNA
Source: RNAcentral